CUUGUCAUGUUCAGACAGUUCGGGAGGUGUAUAAACUACUAAAGCAUUAGCUUCAUCAGGGUCAUGAAGUGCACAUCGUGGUCCUGCCAUAUGCAUACCCAAACUUCGGCCCGAAAGUCUAUAUCCAGUUCUUUUUCUCUUGCUCUCUCUCUGAGGUAAAGCAGGACCACCCAAUUGAAUGGGAGAAAUUUCCCCGGGUCGUUUGCCCCGUUGGCUGGGGGCUGCUGAUCGCAUCUGGAAUAGACCGCAAUAUGAUUGAUAAUGG
Molecule: unclassified non-coding RNA, 265 nt
Filed under: Athalia rosae (coleseed sawfly)
Lineage: Eukaryota; Metazoa; Arthropoda; Insecta; Hymenoptera; Athaliidae
Description: misc RNA ENSAEAG00005000841.1
Source: RNAcentral